This 67-nucleotide transfer RNA is filed under the name Paratya australiensis. RNAcentral's name for it is "tRNA-Trp". The record is from RNAcentral. Lineage: Eukaryota; Metazoa; Arthropoda; Malacostraca; Decapoda; Atyidae.
AAGGUUUUAGGUUAAAAAAACUAGUAGCCUUCAAAGUUUCUGAUAAGAGAAUACCUCUUAAACCUUA